This 574-nucleotide ribosomal RNA is filed under the name Colletotrichum acutatum. RNAcentral's name for it is "eukaryotic LSU rRNA". The stretch from base 203 to 356 matches the Rfam family "5.8S ribosomal RNA". The record is from RNAcentral. Lineage: Eukaryota; Fungi; Ascomycota; Sordariomycetes; Glomerellales; Glomerellaceae.
GAACCUGCGGAGGGAUCAUUACUGAGUUACCGCUCUACAACCCUUUGUGAACAUACCUAACCGUUGCUUCGGCGGGCAGGGGAAGCCUCUCGCGGGCCUCCCCUCCCGGCGCCGGCCCCACCACGGGGACGGGGCGCCCGCCGGAGGAAACCAAACUCUAUUUACACGACGUCUCUUCUGAGUGGCACAAGCAAAUAAUUAAAACUUUUAACAACGGAUCUCUUGGUUCUGGCAUCGAUGAAGAACGCAGCGAAAUGCGAUAAGUAAUGUGAAUUGCAGAAUUCAGUGAAUCAUCGAAUCUUUGAACGCACAUUGCGCUCGCCAGCAUUCUGGCGAGCAUGCCUGUUCGAGCGUCAUUUCAACCCUCAAGCACCGCUUGGUUUUGGGGCCCCACGGCAGACGUGGGCCCUUAAAGGUAGUGGCGGACCCUCCCGGAGCCUCCUUUGCGUAGUAACUAACGUCUCGCACUGGGAUCCGGAGGGACUCUUGCCGUAAAACCCCCAAAUUCUUUACAGGUUGACCUCGGAUCAGGUAGGAAUACCCGCUGAACUUAAGCAUAUCAAUAAGCGGAGGA